Molecule: ribosomal RNA, 253 nt
Filed under: uncultured bacterium
Lineage: Bacteria
Description: partial 16S ribosomal RNA
Rfam family: Bacterial small subunit ribosomal RNA
Source: RNAcentral
UACGUAGGCAGCAAGCGUUGUUCGGAGUUACUGGGCGUAAAGAGCGUGUAGGCGGUUUGGUAGGUCCGCUGUGAAAACUCGAGGCUCAACCUCGAGACGCCGGUGGAAACCAUCAGACUAGAGUCCGGAAGAGGAGAGUGGAAUUCCUGGUGUAGCGGUGAAAUGCGCAGGUAUCAGGAAGAACACCCGUGGCUAAGGCGGCUCUCUAGUACGGUACUGACGCUGAGACGCGAAAGCGUGGGGAGCGAACAGG